This is a long non-coding RNA of Acanthochromis polyacanthus (spiny chromis), 786 nucleotides long. RefSeq lists it as uncharacterized. Lineage: Eukaryota; Metazoa; Chordata; Actinopteri; Pomacentridae. The transcript is spliced from 2 exons. The record is from RefSeq and is a predicted model, not a curated record.
GGAGGACCCCGGGUUCAGAGCAGCGUGGAGUUGGGAGAUGGGACACGCCGAGUGCAAUCUAUCAGGCUCCCGAAAAGGCAAUCUUCCUCUUCUAAAAUGGGAGUAUUAAGGAAAGUGUCAGAUCCAACAAAACACUGUUUACAUGCACAGUUCUUUAAAAUCUUUGUAGUGUAAGUAGCACACUGCAAAUAAGUUUGUUUUUUCAUAAAUGUUUCAACUUUGCAACUGUUUACAUAUUUAUUCUUUAUAUUUGUGUGAUGCUUCACUUUUUCCAUGUUGCAUAAAUAUGAACAAAGGAUUUGUUAAGGCACUGAGGACAGUUGAUCCAAAGACUGAAGGUUAAUGUCCAUUUUAUUUUUAACUCUGGUAUUUUAUUUUGUGUUUUAUUUUGUGUAAUGUGUAUAUUUGUGUUUAUUUAUUUCUAAUGCCAAACUGCACUACAUUUUUAUUUAUAUUUUAGAAGUGUUCAUUUUAUUGUGUGAUAACAUUAAUCAUUGAUACUGAGCAAUUUGCACUGAAGCCACUUUUCAAUUUACAGUUUUACAGUUUGAUUUGUUUACAAAAUCUCACUCAGGUUACGUUUUGAUAUUGUAUUUUUUGUGUGCAAUUUAAAGUUUUAUUGUGUGAUAACAUUAAUCUUUGAUACUGAGCAAUUUGCACUGAAGCCACUUUUCAAUUUACAGUUUUACAGUUUGAUUUGUUUACAAAAUGUCACUCAGGUUACGUUUUGAUAUUGUAUUUUUCUGUGUGCAAUUUAAAGUUAAAUAAAUGUUAAGAGUUCUACUA